UACGGAGGGUGCAAGCGUUGUUCGGAAUUACUGGGCGUAAAGCGCGUGUAGGCGGUCUACUAAGUCUGGUGUGAAAGCCCGGGGCUCACCCCCGGAAGUGCACUGGAUACUGGGAGACUGGAGUACCGGAGAGGAGGGUGGAAUUCCUGGUGUAGCGGUGAAAUGCGUAGAUAUCAGGAAGAACACCGGUGGCGAAGGCGGACCUCUGGACGGAUACUGACGCUGAGACGCGAAAGCGUGGGGAGCAAACAGG
This 253-nucleotide ribosomal RNA is filed under the name uncultured bacterium. RNAcentral's name for it is "partial 16S ribosomal RNA". It matches the Rfam family "Bacterial small subunit ribosomal RNA", at positions 524 to 776 of the family's 1533-position model. The record is from RNAcentral.